This 225-nucleotide unclassified non-coding RNA is filed under the name Hevea brasiliensis (rubber tree). The record is from RNAcentral. Lineage: Eukaryota; Viridiplantae; Streptophyta; Magnoliopsida; Malpighiales; Euphorbiaceae.
AAUUGAGUUGGGCCUUGAAGAUUGCGUAGAAGAUAUUGAUGCUCAACAGGUACUUGGAUAUGCUCUUCACAAAAAUGGAACAACUACUAAACUAUCAUAUCCUUUGCAACGCUUUGAUCUAGAUGUGGCUGGAAGAAGUUCUCACAAUGGACGUUUCAUUAAAGAUGCGUGAAAAAGCUGCUUCUUUACCCAAACUUCAAAUGUAAGAUUGGAGGAAGGGACAGU